ACGAACGCUGGCGGCAGGCUUAACACCUGCAAGUCGAACGCAUGCCUUCGGGCAUGAGUGGCAGACGGGUGAGUAACGCGUGGGAACCUACCCCUUGGUACGGGAUAGCUCCGGGAAACUGGAGAUAAUACCGUAUGUGUCCUGAGGGACAAAGAUUCAUCGCCAAGGGAUGGGCCCGCGUCGGAUUAGCUAGUUGGUGGGGUAACGGCCUACCAAGGCGACGAUCCGUAGCUGGUCUAAGAGGAUGAUCAGCCACAUUGGGACUGAGACACGGCCCAAACUCCUACGGGAGGCAGCAGUGGGGAAUAUUGGACAAUGGGCGCAAGCCUGAUCCAGCCAUGCCGCGUGAGUGAUGAAGGCCCUAGGGUUGUAAAGCUCUUUCACCGGUGACGAUAAUGACGGUAACCGGAGAAGAAGCCCCGGCUAACUUCGUG
Molecule: ribosomal RNA, 434 nt
Filed under: uncultured bacterium
Lineage: Bacteria
Description: partial 16S ribosomal RNA
Rfam family: Bacterial small subunit ribosomal RNA
Source: RNAcentral